UAUCUCUGUAGAGUCUGCAUAUCAAUAAGCGGAGGAAAAGAAACUAACAAGGAUUCCCUUAGUAACGGCGAGUGAAGCGGGAAGAGCUCAAAUUUGAAAUCUUCAAGGUUCUACCUUGACGAAUUGUAGUUUAAAGAAGUGUUUUCUGUUAGAUGAGUAGCAAAAGUUCCUUGGAAUGGGACAUCAUAGAGGGUGAGAAUCCCGUAUUUGGUUAUUCAUUCUAGCUUUGUGAUACACUUUCAAAGAGUCGGAUUGUUUGGGAAUGCAGUCCAAAAUGGGUGGUAAAUUUCAUCUAAAGCUAAAUAUUGGCGAGAGACCGAUAGCGAACAAGUACCGUGAGGGAAAGAUGAAAAGAACUUUGAAAAGAGAGUUAAACAGUACGUGAAAUUGUCAAAAGGGAAGCGUUUGACACCAGUGUUGUUUUUCCGAUAGAUCAAUUACGAAUGGCUUGAUUUUGUGUUGUAUUGACCUUAUCAGCUUUCUUCACUUUUUUCGAGUCUUUCUUAAUGCACUUUUCGGUUAACAAGUCAACAUCAACUUUCUUUUGUUGUAAAAGAGUAUUCGGAAGGUGGCUUUCUUUUCGGAGAAAGUGUUUAUAGCCCUAUACUUCUACAAUCGGAGAGAUUGAGGUCUGCAGCGUAGAUCCUUCGGGGUUAGAUACACUUGUGCUAAGUUGCAGCUUUUCAUAGACAACUUGUUGACUAUGUUUAGUCAUGCGGCUUACUCGCUUAUGCUAUUUUACCUACGCUUAGGAUGUUGACUGAUAUGUAGUCGUA
This 776-nucleotide ribosomal RNA is filed under the name uncultured Neocallimastigales. RNAcentral's name for it is "partial large subunit ribosomal RNA". It matches the Rfam family "Eukaryotic large subunit ribosomal RNA", at positions 24 to 644 of the family's 3401-position model. Lineage: Eukaryota; Fungi; Neocallimastigomycota; Neocallimastigomycetes; Neocallimastigales. The record is from RNAcentral.